GCCAUCGUGGUAUAGUGGUAUGAGGGUUAGACUGCAACACGGGAGGCCAGGGUUCGAAUCCCAGCUUGGCC
Non-coding RNA from Phrynosoma platyrhinos (Desert horned lizard), 71 nucleotides. The record is from the annotation of a GenBank genome assembly. Lineage: Eukaryota; Metazoa; Chordata; Lepidosauria; Squamata; Phrynosomatidae.